This 79-nucleotide non-coding RNA is filed under the name Desulfuromonadales bacterium. Its description in RNAcentral is "c-di-GMP sequence". It matches the Rfam family "c-di-GMP-I-GGC riboswitch aptamer". Lineage: Bacteria; Pseudomonadati; Thermodesulfobacteriota; Desulfuromonadia; Desulfuromonadales. The record is from RNAcentral.
CUCGCAAAAGCCAAACCCUCCGCGAGGGGGGGACGGAAUGUCACGGAUCUCAUGCGACGAGAUGGCCGGGCUGCCGAGU